ACAAAAAUCCCGCGUGGCAUAAUAUUCAAAAUAAUAUUACGUAAAUUUUAUUUUAGUACUUUCCGACUUACAUUUACCUAUAUAUUUCAACAAAUACGCUGUCGCAUCAUCAUUAUUUUUUUACUAUGAUUCCCGCUUUGUACUUGUUUGCUAAAAUCUUACGUAAUGUGAGCCCGAGAGACACGAACACAAUACCUUCCUUGACAGUGGUCAGGGGCGUACUUCUGGCUUGAGCGAGCAUGCAACCAAGGCGUCGCGUUUGGUUUAUUACGAAAAAAAUUAAUAUAAAAUAAUUCAUAAAGCGUAUUGAUAAAUCCCACAGUGAAAACUUAUAAGUACUAAUAAACUAUCGAAUAAAAUAAGUUUUGUGCUUAUAGCUAUCAUAGUUUUAUGAUAAUAUAAACAAUUAAAAUAAAAAAGACAAUUAAAAAAAAAAAAAUCUAUCGAGAUUUUUUUUCGUAAUCGUGUUUUCGAAACAGCCAUAAUUUAGAUAAAGAAAUGAAGAUAAACAUGUCAAAAAAUUAGAACCGUAGUAUUUGUAGAAGUAUUUUAAGUAGAUUUUUAAAAAUGUUACUUUUUAGGACUAUAGCGCCUUAAUGCCUGAUAGACUGCAUAUAAUUCUGCUAUAAAAAUUUAACAUGAUUGGUGUAGAACAAAAUUUUUACAAAAUUUGGUUUGUGGAUCAUAUAGAGCAGAAUGUACAUAGUCACUCCCUUUAGUUCCAUCAGUAUACAUAACAUAUUCAGAGAUUAAACUGGCAAAACUAUCUGCACAACAACACCCUCUACGAAAUCCGUAUUGAAAUUGUGGGAUGAUAUGAUUGGAUUCAACAUACCAGUCGAGACGAACUUUAAUCAUAUUAAAUAUUUUACCAAGACAAGAAGAUAAGGAUAUUGGUCUGUAAGAACUGGCAAGCUCCGGAGAUUUCUCAGGCUUGAGUAUGGGGAUAACACAUUGAAGUUUUCCAUGACUGUGGAAUAAUUUUCUUGUACCAAAGUAGAUUUAGGAUAUUAAGGAAAACCUUUUGAGCAGAUUCAUCUUAAUUUUUAAUAAUCAUGUAAGGAUAAUCAUCGAGACCUGGAGUUGUGUUUUGUCUAGAUUGUAAACUCUUUGUAAAUUCAUUCCAUGUAAAUGAAUUAAGUAAAAAUUUUGAAUUUUUA
Leptidea sinapis is the source of this 1160-nucleotide long non-coding RNA. RefSeq lists it as uncharacterized. Lineage: Eukaryota; Metazoa; Arthropoda; Insecta; Lepidoptera; Pieridae. The transcript has 2 exons. The record is from RefSeq and is a predicted model, not a curated record.